GGACAUGGCAUCCAAAAUCAACCCUCAUGGCGUUUGACAUUUUCUCACAGAAAAAAAAGGCUUUUUUUUCCUAGAUAUUUCUCCAUACAAGGACAAAAUAUAAAUUGUAUUAAGGUGAAAAUUCACAUUCAAUAGAAAACACUUCCCUCUCACUUUACAUGAUCUGUCCAACACUCCUGCCUGCAAUAGUAUUGGGAAAAA
Molecule: unclassified non-coding RNA, 201 nt
Filed under: Hevea brasiliensis (rubber tree)
Lineage: Eukaryota; Viridiplantae; Streptophyta; Magnoliopsida; Malpighiales; Euphorbiaceae
Source: RNAcentral